Molecule: ribosomal RNA, 500 nt
Filed under: uncultured Glomeromycotina
Lineage: Eukaryota; Fungi; Glomeromycota
Description: partial small subunit ribosomal RNA
Rfam family: Eukaryotic small subunit ribosomal RNA
Source: RNAcentral
CCAAUAGCGUAUAUUAAAGUUGUUGCAGUUAAAAAGCUCGUAGUUGAAUUUCGGGAUCAGUUCGCUGGUCGUGCCUUCGGUAUGUACUGGUCUCACUGAUUCCUCCUUCCUGAUGAACCGUAAUGCCAUUAAUUUGGUGUUGCGGGGACUCUGGACUGUUACUUUGAAAAAAUUAGAGUGUUUAAAGCAAGCUAAGGCUUGCAUACAUUAGCAGGGAAUAAUGAAAUAGGACGUUCGAUCCUAUUUUGUUGGUUUCUAGGAUUGACGUAAUGAUUAAUAGGGAUAGUUGGGGGCAUUAGUAUUCAAUUGUCAGAGGUGAAAUUCUUGGAUUUAUUGAAGACUAACUACUGCGAAAGCAUUUGCCAAGGAUGUUUUCAUUAAUCAAGAACGAAAGUUAGGGGAUCGAAGACGAUCAGAUACCGUCGUAGUCUUAACCAUAAACUAUGCCGACUAGGGAUCGGAUGAUGUUAAUUUUUAAAUGACUCAUUCGGCGCCUUACG